CGCUUGUUGCCAUGACCAAAAUUGAAGACCAUUGUAAACUCACAUAAAGUAACAACACCCAAAAAGAUGUCAGCAGCAUCCCCCGCUAGCUACCCAGAAAAACUUUACUCGAAAAGAUGAUUGUAUAAAAAACUUACAUCUAAAUACAGCUCAUCUUCCCCAACACCUUAGUUGUCAAACUUCACUUUUGGUGCCGUACCCAUGUCAGGUUCUUCAAAAAUACACUAUUUUUUGGCAAACUCGACACGCACCCGUCGACAUUUUUCGAUAGUUUGAGCAACAUAGCCAAACACAAGACGUUACUAUACCUAUAAACACAUUGUUCCCAAUGGUUUUAAAUACAGCUAUAUCCACAUUAGUAUCAGUCAACAUUCCGGUAGAAGCCUUUGAUGGAG
This 395-nucleotide unclassified non-coding RNA is filed under the name Hevea brasiliensis (rubber tree). Lineage: Eukaryota; Viridiplantae; Streptophyta; Magnoliopsida; Malpighiales; Euphorbiaceae. The record is from RNAcentral.